This 717-nucleotide ribosomal RNA is filed under the name uncultured fungus. RNAcentral describes it as "SSU rRNA". It matches the Rfam family "Eukaryotic small subunit ribosomal RNA", at positions 828 to 1570 of the family's 1831-position model. The record is from RNAcentral. Lineage: Eukaryota; Fungi.
CGUGUGGUUCUAUUUUGUUGGUUAUGGGACCGCCGUAAUGAUUAAUAGGGACAGUCGGGGGCAUCAGUAUUCAAUUGUCAGAGGUGAAAUUCUUGGACUUAUUGAAGACUAACUACUGCGAAAGCAUUUGCCAAGGAUGUUUUCAUUAAUCAGGAACGAAAGUUAGGGGAUCGAAGACGAUCAGAUACCGUCGUAGUCUUAACCAUAAACUAUGCCGACUAGGGAUCGGGCGAUGUUACUUUUUGACUCGCUCGGCACCUUACGAGAAAUCAAAGUUUGUGGGUUCCUGGGGGAGUAUGGUGGCAACGCUGAAACUUAAAGAAAUUGACGGAAGGGCACCACCAGGGGUGGAGCCUGCGGCUUAAUUUGACUCAGCACGGGGAAACUCACCAGGUCCAGACACAAUGAGGAUUGACAGAUUGAGAGCUCUUUCUUGAUUUUGUGGGUGGUGGUGCAUGGCCGUUCUUAGUUGGUGGAGUGAUUUGUCUGCUUAAUUGCGAUAACGAACGAGACCUUAACCUGCUAAAUAGCCCGUGUUGCUUCUGCAGCACGCCGGCUUCUUAGAGGGACUAUCGGCUCAAGCCGAUGGAAGUUUGAGGCAAUAACAGGUCUGUGAUGCCCUUAGAUGUUCUGGGCCGCACGCGCGCGACACUGACAGGGCCAGCGAGUUCUCCCUUGUCCGAAAGGACCGGGUAAUCUUGUUAAACCCUGUCGUGC